Molecule: ribosomal RNA, 496 nt
Filed under: uncultured bacterium
Lineage: Bacteria
Description: bacterial SSU rRNA
Rfam family: Bacterial small subunit ribosomal RNA
Source: RNAcentral
AGUGAACGCUGGCGGCAGGCCUAAUACAUGCAAGUCGAACGGCAGCACAGUGGAGCUUGCUCCAUGGGUGGCGAGUGGCGGGACGGGUGAGGAAUACAUGGGAAUCUGCCCAGUCGUGGGGGAUAACGUAUGGAAACGUACGCUAAUACCGCAUGCGCCCUUCGGGGGAAAGUCGGGGACCGCAAGGCCUGACGCGAUUGGAUGAGCCCAUGUUCGAUUAGCUAGUUGGCGGGGUAACGGCCCACCAAGGCGACGAUCGAUAGCUGGUCUGAGAGGAUGAUCAGCCACACUGGAACUGAGACACGGUCCAGACUCCUACGGGAGGCAGCAGUAGGGAAUAUUGGACAAUGGGCGCAAGCCUGAUCCAGCCAUGCCGCGUGAGUGAAGAAGGCCCUCGGGUUGUAAAGCUCUUUGUUGGGAAGAAAGGCAGUUGGUUAAUACCCGAUUGUUCUGACGGUACCCAAAGAAUAAGCACCGGCUAACUUCGUGCCAGCAG